UUGUUUCUGCCGCCGGGUAGAAGUGGAAGGUCAGAACCUGUAUCGUUAGGCCAUAGAAGAUACAGGGACUGGCGUUUUUUUGUU
Molecule: non-coding RNA, 84 nt
Filed under: unclassified sequences
Source: RNAcentral